GUCUAUGGCUAUGCUACCCUGAACAUGCCCGAUCUCGUCUGAUCUCGGAAUCUUAAGCAGGGUUGGGCCUGGUUAGUUCUUGGAUAGGAGACCACCCUUGGAAUACCAGGUGCUGUAGGCA
This 121-nucleotide ribosomal RNA is filed under the name Pteropus vampyrus (large flying fox). The record is from RNAcentral. Lineage: Eukaryota; Metazoa; Chordata; Mammalia; Chiroptera; Pteropodidae.